CCUACGGGAGGCAGCAGUGAGAAAUAUUGGUCAAUGGGUGGGAGCCUGAACCAGCCAAGCCGCGUGAGGGAAGAAGGUACAGCGUAUCGUAAACCUCUUUUGUCAGGGAACAAAGGCGGGGACUAGUCCCCGGAUGAGGGUACCUGAAGAAAAAGCAUCGGCUAACUCCGUGCCAGCAGCCGCGGUAAUACGGAGGAUGCGAGCGUUAUCCGGAUUGAUUGGGUUUAAAGGGUGCGGAGGCGGCCUGUUACGUCAGCGGUAAAAGCCCGGGGCUCAACCCCGGCGAGCCGUGGAAACUGGCGGGCUGGAGUUGGAGAGAAGUACGCGGAAUGCGCGGUGUAGCGGUGAAAUGCUUAGAUAUCGCGCAGAACCCCGAUUGCGAAGGCAGCGUACCGGCUCCACACUGACGCUGAGGCACGAAAGCGUGGGUAUCGAACAGGAUUAGAUACCCCUGUAGUC
RNAcentral lists this ribosomal RNA (459 nucleotides) under uncultured bacterium. RNAcentral describes it as "partial 16S ribosomal RNA". It matches the Rfam family "Bacterial small subunit ribosomal RNA", at positions 338 to 795 of the family's 1533-position model. The record is from RNAcentral.